UACGUAGGCAGCGAGCGUUGUUCGGAGUUACUGGGCGUAAAGGGUGUGUAGGCGGUUUUCUAAGUUUGGUUGUGAAAAUCUCCCGGCCUCAACCGGGAGGGUGCGCCGAAAACUGGGAGACUAGAGUGCGGGAUGGGAGAGUAGAAUUCCUGGUGUAGCGGUGAAAUGCGUAGAUAUCAGGAGGAAUACCGGUGGUGUAGACGGCUCUCUGGACCGCCACUGACGCUGAGACACGAAAGCGUGGGUAGCAAACAGG
This 256-nucleotide ribosomal RNA is filed under the name uncultured bacterium. RNAcentral's name for it is "partial 16S ribosomal RNA". It matches the Rfam family "Bacterial small subunit ribosomal RNA", at positions 524 to 776 of the family's 1533-position model. The record is from RNAcentral.